UGGGGAAUUUUGGACAAUGGGCGCAAGCCUGAUCCAGCCAUGCCGCGUGCGGGAAGAAGGCCUUCGGGUUGUAAACCGCUUUUGUCAGGGAAGAAACGCUCUGGGCUAAUACCCUGGGGUAAUGACGGUACCUGAAGAAUAAGCACCGGCUAACUACGUGCCAGCAGCCGCGGUAAUACGUAGGGUGCAAGCGUUAAUCGGAAUUACUGGGCGUAAAGCGUGCGCAGGCGGUUAUGCAAGACAGAUGUGAAAUCCCCGGGCUCAACCUGGGAACGGCAUUUGAAACGGGCGGGCUGGAGUUGGGUAGAGGGGAGCGGAAUUCCGGGUGUAGCGGUGAAAUGCGUAGAUAUCCGGAGGAACACCAGUGGCGAAGGCGGCUCCCUGGACCCAAACUGACGCUGAGGCACGAAAGCGUGGGUAGCAAACAGGAUUAGAUACCCUGUAGUCCCUGAGCGGGCUGGCAAGGCGCAU
This 471-nucleotide ribosomal RNA is filed under the name uncultured bacterium. Its description in RNAcentral is "bacterial SSU rRNA". It matches the Rfam family "Bacterial small subunit ribosomal RNA", at positions 355 to 825 of the family's 1533-position model. The record is from RNAcentral.